RNAcentral lists this ribosomal RNA (876 nucleotides) under uncultured archaeon. RNAcentral describes it as "bacterial SSU rRNA". It matches the Rfam family "Archaeal small subunit ribosomal RNA", at positions 31 to 913 of the family's 1478-position model. The record is from RNAcentral.
UAUCGGAUUGAUACUAAGCCAUGCGAGUCAUUGCAGUAAUGCAAGGCAGACGGCUCAGUAACGCGUAGUCAACCUACCCUAUGGACGGGAAUAACCUCGGGAAACUGAGUAUAAUGCCCGAUAGAACACUAUUCCUGGAAUGGUUUGUGUUCCAAAUGAUUUAUCGCCGUAGGAUGGGACUGCGGCCUAUCAGUUUGUUGGUGAGGUAAUGGCCCACCAAGACUAUUACAGGUACGGGCUCUGAGAGGAGUAGCCCGGAGAUGGGUACUGAGACACGGACCCAGGCCCUAUGGGGCGCAGCAGGCGAGAAAACUUUGCAAUGUGCGAAAGCACGACAAGGUUAAUCCGAGUGGUUUGUGCUAAACGAACCUUUUGACAGUCCUAGAAACACUGUUGAAUAAGGGGUGGGCAAGUUCUGGUGUCAGCCGCCGCGGUAAAACCAGCACCUCAAGUGGUCAGGAUGAUUAUUGGGCCUAAAGCAUCCGUAGCCGGCUCUGUAAGUUUUCGGUUAAAUCUGUACGCUCAACGUACAGGCUGCCGGGAAUACUGCAGAGCUAGGGAGUGGGAGAGGUAGACGGUACUCGGUAGGAAGGGGUAAAAUCCUUUGAUCUAUUGAUGACCACCUGUGGCGAAGGCGGUCUACCAGAACACGUCCGACGGUGAGGGAUGAAAGCUGGGGGAGCAAACCGGAUUAGAUACCCGGGUAGUCCCAGCUGUAAACUAUGCAAACUCAGUGAUGCAUUGGCUUGUGGCCAAUGCAGUGCUGCAGGGAAGCCGUUAAGUUUGCCGCCUGGGAAGUACGUACGCAAGUAUGAAACUUAAAGGAAUUGGCGGGGGAGCACCACAAGGGGUGAAGCCUGCGGUUCAAUUGGAUUC